RNAcentral lists this ribosomal RNA (1814 nucleotides) under Diploospora rosea. Its description in RNAcentral is "LSU rRNA". It matches the Rfam family "Eukaryotic large subunit ribosomal RNA", at positions 34 to 1860 of the family's 3401-position model. Lineage: Eukaryota; Fungi; Ascomycota; Eurotiomycetes; Onygenales. The record is from RNAcentral.
UUAAGCAUAUCAAUAAGCGGAGGAAAAGAAACCAACAGGGAUUGCCUCAGUAACGGCGAGUGAAGCGGCAACAGCUCAAAUUUGAAAUCUGGCUCCCUCGCGGGGCCCGAGUUGUAAUUUGCAGAGGAUGCUUCGGGCGUGGCCACGGCGUAAGUGCCUUGGAACAGGCUGUCACAGAGGGUGAGAAUCCCGUCUGCAGUCGUCGGUUCACGCCCGUGUGAAGCUCCUUCGACGAGUCGAGUUGUUUGGGAAUGCAGCUCUAAGUGGGUGGUAAAUUUCAUCUAAAGCUAAAUACUGGCCGGAGACCGAUAGCGCACAAGUAGAGUGAUCGAAAGGUUAAAAGCACCUUGAAAAGGGAGUUAAAAAGCACGUGAAAUUGUUGAAAGGGAAGCGCUUGCGACCAGACUCGGCCGCGUGGGUUCAGCGGGCAUUCGUGCCCGUGCACUCCCGCGCGGCCGGGCCAGCAUCAGUUCUGACGGCCGGUCAAAGGCCCCCGGAAGGUGUCGCCCCUCGGGGCGUCUUAUAGCCGGGGGUGCAAUGCGGCCAGUUGGGACUGAGGAACGCGCUUCGGCUCGGAUGCUGGCGUAAUGGUCGUAAGCGGCCCGUCUUGAAACACGGACCAAGGAGUCUAACAUCCACGCGAGUGUUCGGGUGUCAAACCCGUGCGCGCAGUGAAAGCGAACGGAGGUGAGAUCCCUCUUUGGGGGGCGCAUCAUCGACCGAUCCUGAAGUCUUCGGAUGGAUUUGAGUAAGAGCGUGGCUGUGGGGACCCGAAAGAUGGUGAACUAUGCCUGAAUAGGGUGAAGCCAGAGGAAACUCUGGUGGAGGCUCGCAGCGGUUCUGACGUGCAAAUCGAUCGUCAAAUUUGGGCAUAGGGGCGAAAGACUAAUCGAACCAUCUAGUAGCUGGUUCCUGCCGAAGUUUCCCUCAGGAUAGCAGUAACGUUUUCAGUUUUAUGGGGUAGAGCGAAUGAUUAGAGGCCUUGGGGUUGAAACAACCUUAACCUAUUCUCAAACUUCGAAUAUGUAAGAAGCCCUUGUUACUUAGGUGAACGUGGGCAUUAGAAUGGAUCGUUACUAGUGGGCCAUUUUUGGUAAGCAGAACUGGCGAUGCGGGAUGAACCGAACGCGAGGUUAAGGUGCCGGAAUGCACGCUCAUCAGACACCACAAAAGGUGUUAGUUCAUCUAGACAGCCCGACGGUGGCCAUGGAAGUCGGAACCCGCUAAGGAGUGUGUAACAACUCACGGGCCGAAUGAACUAGCCCUGAAAAUGGAUGGCGCUUAAGCGUGUUACCUAUACCUCGCCGUCGGGGCAGAACUGACGCCCCGACGAGUAGGCAGGCGUGGGGGUCCGUGACGAAGCCCUGGGAGUGAUCCCGGGUCGAACGGCCCCUAGUGCAGAUCUUGGUGGUAGUAGCAAAUACUCAAAUGAGAACUUUGAGGACUGAAGUGGGGAAAGGUUCCAUGUGAACAGCAGUUGGACAUGGGUUAGUCGACCCUAAGACAUAGGGAAGUUCCGUUUCAAAGCGCGCCCUGGUGCGCCGUUCGUCGAAAGGGAAGCCGGUUAAUAUUCCGGCACCUGGAUGUGGAUUCUUCACGGCAACGUAACUGAACGUGGAGACGUCGGCGGGGGUCCUGGGAAGAGUUAUCUUUUCUUCUUGACGGCCUAUCACCCUGAAAUCGGUUUGUCCGGAGCUAGGGUUCCACGGCCGGCAGAGCCCCGCACCUUCGCGGGGUCCGGUGCGCCCCCGACGACCCUUGAAAAUCCGCGGGAAGGAAUAGUUUUCACGCCAGGUCGUACUCAUAACCGCAGC